Molecule: ribosomal RNA, 2531 nt
Filed under: human gut metagenome
Description: bacterial LSU rRNA
Rfam family: Bacterial large subunit ribosomal RNA
Source: RNAcentral
AGCGUACACGGUGGAUGCCCUGGCAGUCAGAGGCGAUGAAGGACGUGCUAAUCUGCGAUAAGCGUCGGUGAGGUGAUAUGAACCGUUAUAACCGGCGAUUUCCGAAUGGGGAAACCCAGUGUGUUUCGACACACUAUCAUUAACUGAAUCCAUAGGUUAAUGAGGCGAACCGGGGGAACUGAAACAUCUAAGUACCCCGAGGAAAAGAAAUCAACCGAGAUUCCCCCAGUAGCGGCGAGCGAACGGGGAGGAGCCCAGAGCCUGAAUCAGUGUGUGUGUUAGUGGAAGCGUCUGGAAAGGCGCGCGAUACAGGGUGACAGCCCCGUACACAAAAAUGCACAUGCUGUGAGCUCGAUGAGUAGGGCGGGACACGUGGUAUCCUGUCUGAAUAUGGGGGGACCAUCCUCCAAGGCUAAAUACUCCUGACUGACCGAUAGUGAACCAGUACCGUGAGGGAAAGGCGAAAAGAACCCCGGCGAGGGGAGUGAAAAAGAACCUGAAACCGUGUACGUACAAGCAGUGGGAGCCUCUUAAUGGGGUGACUGCGUACCUUUUGUAUAAUGGGUCAGCGACUUAUAUUCUGUAGCAAGGUUAACCGAAUAGGGGAGCCGAAGGGAAACCGAGUCUUAACUGGGCGUUAAGUUGCAGGGUAUAGACCCGAAACCCGGUGAUCUAGCCAUGGGCAGGUUGAAGGUUGGGUAACACUAACUGGAGGACCGAACCGACUAAUGUUGAAAAAUUAGCGGAUGACUUGUGGCUGGGGGUGAAAGGCCAAUCAAACCGGGAGAUAGCUGGUUCUCCCCGAAAGCUAUUUAGGUAGCGCCUCGUGAAUUCAUCUCCGGGGGUAGAGCACUGUUUCGGCAAGGGGGUCAUCCCGACUUACCAACCCGAUGCAAACUGCGAAUACCGGAGAAUGUUAUCACGGGAGACACACGGCGGGUGCUAACGUCCGUCGUGAAGAGGGAAACAACCCAGACCGCCAGCUAAGGUCCCAAAGUCAUGGUUAAGUGGGAAACGAUGUGGGAAGGCCCAGACAGCCAGGAUGUUGGCUUAGAAGCAGCCAUCAUUUAAAGAAAGCGUAAUAGCUCACUGGUCGAGUCGGCCUGCGCGGAAGAUGUAACGGGGCUAAACCAUGCACCGAAGCUGCGGCAGCGACACUAUGUGUUGUUGGGUAGGGGAGCGUUCUGUAAGCCUGUGAAGGUGGCCUGUGAGGGUUGCUGGAGGUAUCAGAAGUGCGAAUGCUGACAUAAGUAACGAUAAAGCGGGUGAAAAGCCCGCUCGCCGGAAGACCAAGGGUUCCUGUCCAACGUUAAUCGGGGCAGGGUGAGUCGACCCCUAAGGCGAGGCCGAAAGGCGUAGUCGAUGGGAAACAGGUUAAUAUUCCUGUACUUGGUGUUACUGCGAAGGGGGGACGGAGAAGGCUAUGUUGGCCGGGCGACGGUUGUCCCGGUUUAAGCGUGUAGGCUGGUUUUCCAGGCAAAUCCGGAAAACCAAGGCUGAGGCGUGAUGACGAGGCACUACGGUGCUGAAGUGACAAAUGCCCUGCUUCCAGGAAAAGCCUCUAAGCAUCAGGUAACAUCAAAUCGUACCCCAAACCGACACAGGUGGUCAGGUAGAGAAUACCAAGGCGCUUGAGAGAACUCGGGUGAAGGAACUAGGCAAAAUGGUGCCGUAACUUCGGGAGAAGGCACGCUGAUAUGUAGGUGAAGCGACUUGCUCGUGGAGCUGAAAUCAGUCGAAGAUACCAGCUGGCUGCAACUGUUUAUUAAAAACACAGCACUGUGCAAACACGAAAGUGGACGUAUACGGUGUGACGCCUGCCCGGUGCCGGAAGGUUAAUUGAUGGGGUUAGCGGUAACGCGAAGCUCUUGAUCGAAGCCCCGGUAAACGGCGGCCGUAACUAUAACGGUCCUAAGGUAGCGAAAUUCCUUGUCGGGUAAGUUCCGACCUGCACGAAUGGCGUAAUGAUGGCCAGGCUGUCUCCACCCGAGACUCAGUGAAAUUGAACUCGCUGUGAAGAUGCAGUGUACCCGCGGCAAGACGGAAAGACCCCGUGAACCUUUACUAUAGCUUGACACUGAACAUUGAGCCUUGAUGUGUAGGAUAGGUGGGAGGCUUUGAAGUGUGGACGCCAGUCUGCAUGGAGCCGACCUUGAAAUACCACCCUUUAAUGUUUGAUGUUCUAACGUUGGCCCCUAAUCGGGGUUGCGGACAGUGUCUGGUGGGUAGUUUGACUGGGGCGGUCUCCUCCUAAAGAGUAACGGAGGAGCACGAAGGUUGGCUAAUCCUGGUCGGACAUCAGGAGGUUAGUGCAAUGGCAUAAGCCAGCUUGACUGCGAGCGUGACGGCGCGAGCAGGUGCGAAAGCAGGUCAUAGUGAUCCGGUGGUUCUGAAUGGAAGGGCCAUCGCUCAACGGAUAAAAGGUACUCCGGGGAUAACAGGCUGAUACCGCCCAAGAGUUCAUAUCGACGGCGGUGUUUGGCACCUCGAUGUCGGCUCAUCACAUCCUGGGGCUGAAGUAGGUCCCAAGG